GGGCCGUUAGCUCAGCGGUAGAGCGUUCGCCUUACACGCGAAAUGUCGCAGGUUCGAAUCCUGCACGGCCCA
This 72-nucleotide transfer RNA is filed under the name Elusimicrobia bacterium RIFCSPHIGHO2_02_FULL_57_9. RNAcentral describes it as "tRNA-Val". It matches the Rfam family "tRNA". Rfam says of the family: Transfer RNA (tRNA) molecules are approximately 80 nucleotides in length. Their secondary structure includes four short double-helical elements and three loops (D, anti-codon, and T loops). The record is from RNAcentral. Lineage: Bacteria; Pseudomonadati; Elusimicrobiota.